Chelonia mydas (Green sea turtle) is the source of this 151-nucleotide long non-coding RNA. RefSeq lists it as uncharacterized. The record is from RefSeq and is a predicted model, not a curated record. The transcript is spliced from 3 exons. NCBI's taxonomy places the organism in Eukaryota, Metazoa, Chordata, Testudines, Cheloniidae.
UACUUUUGAAAAUACCUGGGCCUUGUCUACACUGGCAAGGUACUGCACAGUAAAGCAGUUUUCUGCCGUGUAACUCCCGAGGUGUACACACUGCCAAGCCACUUAGUGCGCAGAAACUCCUCAGUUGCAGUGCUGUAAAAAAACCAUCUCG